RNAcentral lists this ribosomal RNA (453 nucleotides) under uncultured Porphyromonadaceae bacterium. RNAcentral's name for it is "partial 16S ribosomal RNA". It matches the Rfam family "Bacterial small subunit ribosomal RNA", at positions 341 to 792 of the family's 1533-position model. The record is from RNAcentral. Lineage: Bacteria; Pseudomonadati; Bacteroidota; Bacteroidia; Bacteroidales; Porphyromonadaceae.
ACGGGAGGCAGCAGUGAGGAAUAUUGGUCAAUGGGCGGAAGCCUGAACCAGCCAAGUCGCGUGAAGGAUGAAGGUAUUAUGUAUUGUAAACUUCUUUAGACGUAGAGAAAUAAGGGGGUCGUGACCCUUGAUGCUAGUAUACGUAGAAUAAGGAUCGGCUAACUCCGUGCCAGCAGCCGCGGUAAUACGGAGGAUCCGAGCGUUAUCCGGAUUUAUUGGGUUUAAAGGGUGCGCAGGCGGCUUUUUAAGUCAGUGGUUAAAUCGUGGAGCUUAACUCCAUCCCGCCAUUGAUACUGGAGAGCUUGAUUGCGGUUGAGGUUGGCGGAAUUCGCCGUGUAGCGGUGAAAUGCAUAGAUAUGACGAAGAACACCGAUUGCGUAGGCAGCUUACCAAGCCGUAAAUGACGCUCAUGCACGAAAGUGCGGGGAUCGAACAGGAUUAGAUACCCUGGUA